This 1534-nucleotide ribosomal RNA is filed under the name Campylobacter jejuni. RNAcentral describes it as "partial 23S ribosomal RNA". It matches the Rfam family "Bacterial large subunit ribosomal RNA", at positions 1409 to 2925 of the family's 2925-position model. The record is from RNAcentral. Lineage: Bacteria; Pseudomonadati; Campylobacterota; Epsilonproteobacteria; Campylobacterales; Campylobacteraceae.
GGGUAGACGAUGGCAAAUUGGUUAAUAUUCCAAUACCAACAUUAGUGUGCGAUGGAAGGACGCUUAGGGCUAAGGGGGCUAGCGGAUGGAAGUGCUAGUCUAAGGUCGUAGGAGGUUAUACAGGCAAAUCCGUAUAACAAUACUCCGAGAACUGAAAGGCUUUUUGAAGUCUUCGGAUGGAUAGAAGAACCCCUGAUGCCGUCGAGCCAAGAAAAGUUUCUAAGUUUAGCUAAUGUUGCCCGUACCGUAAACCGACACAGGUGGGUGGGAUGAGUAUUCUAAGGCGCGUGGAAGAACUCUCUUUAAGGAACUCUGCAAAAUAGCACCGUAUCUUCGGUAUAAGGUGUGGUUAGCUUUGUAUUAGGAUUUACUCCGAAAGCAAGGAAACUUACAACAAAGAGUCCCUCCCGACUGUUUACCAAAAACACAGCACUCUGCUAACUCGUAAGAGGAUGUAUAGGGUGUGACGCCUGCCCGGUGCUCGAAGGUUAAUUGAUGGGGUUAGCAUUAGCGAAGCUCUUGAUCGAAGCCCGAGUAAACGGCGGCCGUAACUAUAACGGUCCUAAGGUAGCGAAAUUCCUUGUCGGUUAAAUACCGACCUGCAUGAAUGGCGUAACGAGAUGGGAGCUGUCUCAAAGAGGGAUCCAGUGAAAUUGUAGUGGAGGUGAAAAUUCCUCCUACCCGCGGCAAGACGGAAAGACCCCGUGGACCUUUACUACAGCUUGACACUGCUACUUGGAUAAGAAUGUGCAGGAUAGGUGGGAGGCUUUGAGUAUAUGACGCCAGUUGUAUAUGAGCCAUUGUUGAGAUACCACUCUUUCUUAUUUGGGUAGCUAACCAGCUUGAGUUAUCCUCAAGUGGGACAAUGUCUGGUGGGUAGUUUGACUGGGGCGGUCGCCUCCCAAAUAAUAACGGAGGCUUACAAAGGUUGGCUCAGAACGGUUGGAAAUCGUUCGUAGAGUAUAAAGGUAUAAGCCAGCUUAACUGCAAGACAUACAAGUCAAGCAGAGACGAAAGUCGGUCUUAGUGAUCCGGUGGUUCUGUGUGGAAGGGCCAUCGCUCAAAGGAUAAAAGGUACCCCGGGGAUAACAGGCUGAUCUCCCCCAAGAGCUCACAUCGACGGGGAGGUUUGGCACCUCGAUGUCGGCUCAUCGCAUCCUGGGGCUGGAGCAGGUCCCAAGGGUAUGGCUGUUCGCCAUUUAAAGCGGUACGCGAGCUGGGUUCAGAACGUCGUGAGACAGUUCGGUCCCUAUCUGCCGUGGGCGUAAGAAGAUUGAAGAGAUUUGACCCUAGUACGAGAGGACCGGGUUGAACAAACCACUGGUGUAGCUGUUGUUCUGCCAAGAGCAUCGCAGCGUAGCUAAGUUUGGAAAGGAUAAACGCUGAAAGCAUCUAAGCGUGAAGCCAACUCUAAGAUGAAUCUUCUCUAAGCUCUCUAGAAGACUACUAGUUUGAUAGGCUGGGUGUGUAAUGGAUGAAAGUCCUUUAGCUGACCAGUACUAAUAGAGCGUUUGGCUUAUCUUUAAUAAAGCAU